This 460-nucleotide ribosomal RNA is filed under the name uncultured bacterium. RNAcentral's name for it is "bacterial SSU rRNA". It matches the Rfam family "Bacterial small subunit ribosomal RNA", at positions 338 to 795 of the family's 1533-position model. The record is from RNAcentral.
CCUACGGGUGGCUGCAGUGAGGAAUAUUGGACAAUGGGCGCAAGCCUGAUCCAGCCAUGCCGCGUGCAGGAUGACGGUCCUAUGGAUUGUAAACUGCUUUUGCACAGGAAGAAACAACGCUACGUGUAGCGUCUUGACGGUACUGUGAGAAUAAGGAUCGGCUAACUCCGUGCCAGCAGCCGCGGUAAUACGGAGGAUCCAAGCGUUAUCCGGAAUCAUUGGGUUUAAAGGGUCCGUAGGCGGUUUAGUAAGUCAGUGGUGAAAGCCCAUCGCUCAACGGUGGAACGGCCAUUGAUACUGCUAGACUUGAAUUAUUAGGAAGUAACUAGAAUAUGUAGUGUAGCGGUGAAAUGCUUAGAGAUUACAUGGAAUACCAAUUGCGAAGGCAGGUUACUACUAAUGGAUUGACGCUGAUGGACGAAAGCGUGGGUAGCGAACAGGAUUAGAUACCCCAGUAGUC